CGUUAAUCGGAAUUACUGGGCGUAAAGCGCGCGUAGGCGGUUGUGUAAGUUGGAUGUGAAAUCCCCGGGCUUAACCUGGGAAUGGCAUUCAAAACUGCACGGCUAGAGUGUGGGAGAGGAAGGUAGAAUUCCAGGUGUAGCGGUGAAAUGCGUAGAGAUCUGGAGGAAUGCCGAUGGCGAAGGCAGCCUUCUGGCCUAACACUGACGCUGAGGUGCGAAAGCAUGGGGAGCAAACAGG
This 238-nucleotide ribosomal RNA is filed under the name uncultured bacterium. Its description in RNAcentral is "partial 16S ribosomal RNA". It matches the Rfam family "Bacterial small subunit ribosomal RNA", at positions 539 to 776 of the family's 1533-position model. The record is from RNAcentral.